UUUCCGGUUGAUCCUGCCGGAGGCGACCGCUUUUGGAGUUCGAUUAAGCCAUGCGAGUCGAGAGCCUUAGGGGCUCGGCAUACUGCUCAGUAACACGUGGAUAACCUGCCCUAUUGUCUGGAAUAACCUCGGGAAACUGAGAACAAUGCCGGAUAGCCCACAAUGCCUGGAACGGUCUGUGGGUGAAGAUAGGAUGGGUCUGCGGAGUAUCAAGUUGUAGGGGGUGUAAUGGACCUCCUAGCCAUCGACGCGUACGGGUGUUGGGAGACAUAGCCCGGAGAUGGAUUCUGAGACACGAAUCCAGACCCUACGGGGUGCAGCAAGCGCGAAAACUUCACACUGCAGGAAACUGUGAUGAGGGAACUCCAAGUGCUAUCACUAUGUGGUAGCUUUUCUUGACUAUUAAUCGGUCCAUGGAAUAAGGGCUGGGAAAGACCGGUGCCAGCCGCCGCGGUAAUACCGGCAGCUCAAGUGGUCGUACGCUUUUAUUGGGCCUAAAACGUCCGUAACCUGUUUGGUAAAUCUGUGGGUAAAUCACCAACUUAACUGGUUGAAUUCUGCAGAGACUGCCAGACUAGGGACCGGGAGAAGUGUGGGGUACUCUAAGGGUAGGGUAAAACCUGUCAUCUUAAGGACCCCAUGCAAAGAGCAACUGGAACGAUCGACGGCAGGCACAGCUAGGG
This 683-nucleotide ribosomal RNA is filed under the name uncultured euryarchaeote. Its description in RNAcentral is "bacterial SSU rRNA". It matches the Rfam family "Archaeal small subunit ribosomal RNA", at positions 1 to 716 of the family's 1478-position model. Lineage: Archaea; Methanobacteriati; Methanobacteriota. The record is from RNAcentral.